RNAcentral lists this ribosomal RNA (432 nucleotides) under uncultured bacterium. Its description in RNAcentral is "partial 16S ribosomal RNA". It matches the Rfam family "Bacterial small subunit ribosomal RNA", at positions 29 to 506 of the family's 1533-position model. The record is from RNAcentral.
AACGAACGCUGGCGGCAUGCCUAACACAUGCAAGUCGAACGAGACCUUCGGGUCUAGUGGCGCACGGGUGCGUAACGCGUGGGAACCUGCCUUUAGGUUCGGAAUAACUCAGAGAAAUUUGAGCUAAUACCGGAUGAUGUCUUCGGACCAAAGAUUUAUCGCCUUUAGAUGGGCCCGCGUUGGAUUAGCUAGUUGGUGGGGUAAAGGCCUACCAAGGCGACGAUCCAUAGCUGGUCUGAGAGGAUGAUCAGCCACACUGGGACUGAGACACGGCCCAGACUCCUACGGGAGGCAGCAGUGGGGAAUAUUGGACAAUGGGCGAAAGCCUGAUCCAGCAAUGCCGGGGGAGUGAUGAAGGCCUUAGGGUUGUAAAGCUCUUUUCCCCGAGAUGAUAAUGACAGUAUCGGGAGAAAAAGCCCCGGCUAACUCCUU